This 199-nucleotide unclassified non-coding RNA is filed under the name plant metagenome. Its description in RNAcentral is "partial contains small subunit ribosomal RNA, internal transcribed spacer 1, and 5.8S ribosomal RNA". The record is from RNAcentral.
UCUCCGUUGGUGAACCAGCGGAGGGAUCAUUACAGAGUUGCAAAACUCCCAACCCUUUGUGAACGAACCUACCAGUUGCUUCGGCGGAAGGCCCUUCAGGGGGCGGCCCGCCGAAGGUCUACAAACUCUUGAUUUUUUGGCAUCUCUGAGUAGCUUAUAAAAUAAGUUAAAACUUUCAACAACGGAUCUCUUGGUCCUG